Molecule: ribosomal RNA, 457 nt
Filed under: uncultured bacterium
Lineage: Bacteria
Description: bacterial SSU rRNA
Rfam family: Bacterial small subunit ribosomal RNA
Source: RNAcentral
GAUGAACGUUGGCGGUGUGCCUAAUACAUGCAAGUCGAACGGAGUUAGUAGCAAUACUGGCUCAGUGGCGAACGGGUGAGUAACGCGUUGGUGAUCUGCCUUGAAGUGUGGAAUAACGUUUCGAAAGGAACGCUAAUACCGCAUGUGCUCUCGAUUUUCAGAAAGUUGAGAGUAAAGGAUUUAUUCGCUUCAAGAGGAGCCUGCGUCCCAUCAGCUGGUUGGUAGGGUAACGGCCUACCAAGGCUAUGACGGGUAGGGGACCUGAGAGGGUGGCCCCCCACAAUGGAACUGAAACACGGUCCAUACACCUACGGGUGGCAGCAGUAGGGAAUAUUAGAAAUGGACGAAAGUCUGAUCUAGCAACACCGCGUGUGCGAAGAAGGCCUUGGGUCGUAAAGCACUUUUGGAAGGAAUAGGAAGGAAUGUACUUCCAGAAUAAGUCUCGGCUAACUACGUG